GUAACUCAAAUCUGUCAAGGCUAAGUUACUCAUUCAUGGUCAUUGUUCAUAAUAUUAAUACAACACCAUUUUAUCCAUCAUGGUAAGAACACAUAUUAUGCAUCAUAGAUCAUCACAUAUCAAGGCAUUCUCAUAGGAUUAGUAUACAUACUUGCACAACUCGUAACAUAACUCGAGUGCAUACUCACCAAUGACUUACCUCAUUGGGACCAUCAUCAACUCUUUCCUUGGAUUGCCCGUUGAACACUUGGAAUACUAAUUGGAUACUCGGAAAAGCCUUUGCACAUAAGUGCCUCAAUUGUAGCUAAAACUACCUCAUAUCUCAUGACAUUUCAAUGCUCACUCUCAUGCUAGUCAUCUAGACUCAUAAUUCCUAGUGACAUGUCACUCGUAUCCUAUUCUAUUCCUAAGGUUCAAACGGGAUUUUUCAUCGUCUAUUAAGGCUUUGUCUUAUCAUAUUUCUAUUAAUCACAUACACAUUAAUAUCUGUACAAUUCAUGUAAUGAUAACAUUUAAAUACAUGUAUAGCAUGGUAUUGUUUACAUACGAACUUACCUUGAUACCACAAAGGUGAAAAGGACAUACUCGUCCAUAAAUCGAUUUCUUUCCGUUCUAGGUCCAAGUCUCAAUUUUCAUCAUUUAUAACAUCACAUUUAGCCUACCAAUCAGUCACAAUAUUCAUAUGGGUCUAAAAAUCAUAUUUUUACAAAUUUUCAUUUUGACCCCUAAACUUUUGCAUAUUUGCACUUUUGCCCCAAUGCUCGUAAAUUAAUUUUUAUCACAUUUCUUUACUCCUUGAGUCUAGAUGAACCAUUUUCAUAGCUAUAGCAACUCAUAAUUUCAACUAUUUUACACAUUUACAACUCAUUUUACAACUUAGCAAUUCAGACCCUUUUAAAGUAUUUUCAUGCAAUUUCUUUCACAAAAGUUGUUUAUUAGACAACUAGGACUCAUAAUCUUCCAUAAAAACACAGCAAACAACACAUUUACUCUCAUGGUAAAACCCUAGACUCUUCAUCAUUUUGCGAAAUAAUCCCCUCUUAUGAAAGCUUAUGCUUUAAGGGUUCCAAAAAUACAAAAAUCAUCAAGCAAAGACAUUAAAAUCACUUACAAGCAAGGGAAAUAUGUUGCUGAAAUUUUCCAGCUUCAAAACCCUUUCUUUGCUGCAUAUUUCGGUGAAGGGGAAGAGAAAAAUGAUAGCUUUUUCUUCUUCUUUUUUUUAUUUGUUAAUAAUAAAACUAUUUUGUCUAAUUUUGACUUUUCAACUAUUUUAUCUCCCAUGGCCGGCCAUCACACUUUCAAUGGCCUAACUUCACUUUAAAGACCCCCAAUUUAAGAUACAAGGCAAUUUAACACCUUUAGGUAUUAAAACACAACUUUUACUUUUUACGCGAUUUAGUCCUUUUUCGAAAUUGGACUAGAAAUCGCUAAAAUUAAUAUACCAAAAUUAACAUGCACUUAUAAAAUCAUAUUAUAACACAUAAAAUAAUACUAAAAUAAUUUUCUCUGGCCUCGAAAUAGUGGUCCCGAAAUCACUGUUCCGACUAGGCCCAAAAUCGGGCUGUUACAUUUCUUCCCCCCUUUAGGGAUUUUCGUCCCCGAAAAUCUUACCAGAAAAAGUUGUUCUCUACUUUCACGAGUCACUUUUAUCUUUUUCUCACAACUUACAAAACAACUCCGCACAAGCUCAUACUCAAGAUUUCCCUUAGCUUUUUCAUAGUUGAGGUAUAAACCUUGGAGCUCAAUUUGAAACACUGGAGACUGACAUUCUUGGAACUAUAAACUCAGAAACAUACAACUCAGUCACAUCUGUUGAAUAAUAUAUCUGUACAUACUAAAAUAAUCAUGCAGACUUCCAUCAUCAAUCUUUCACAAUUCAACUUGCAUCUCUCUUUUUUCCUGGAAAUGAGAGACAUCCCGAUACGAAAUUCAUAACAGUCCUUUCUCAUUUUCUUCCCACUGUCAUCACUGACAAUAAUAAUCUCGAAUACAUUUGAUAUUCGGCUUUACCCUAUAGAAAAUUUGACAUCCUUUGAACGAAUAGACAAGAUACUGCUGUGAACUCUGUACUCAAUUCUCUGUAUACCCAGAGUUUCUCAGUACUGAAAUCUUACUCUAAAUUAAUAGUAAUAGAAACCAGAAAUCAAAUCCUCCCUGCAAUUCCAAAUUAAAAGUCGAAUCAUGCUGUACUUGUUUAAUUUACCACUUAUAGCCACAUUUCUAUACUCUGAUCAUCAACUGUUUAGAAACUUUACUAACAUGAAUCAAAUGAUUCCAACUUCAUAGAUGUGGUCUUUUUAUUAAUCAGGAUAACUAUACUUAUAACAUCUCUCGAACAAGAGAAAUCCAACUAAUAUGUUUCCAUAACAUACUUUCAAGAAUAAAACCCCAUCAUUUCUGACUGUACGACUACUUACCAAAGAACACGUAACUGUGUUCUCGAACCAGAGAAUAAACUUAAAUGCACAUAACUCAGAUUUACUUUUGCAGAAUAACCAUUCUUUACCCCAGGAAUUUUAAAGAAAUCUCGACACUGAAAUCCCCACACUUCUAUGGUCGAGCCAGAAGCUUAAUCAUAACAAAUUCUAAUAUGGCAAGUCAAAGAUUACUCGUAAAGAUAAGCCAAGCUUGAUAAUUCUCGAAACAAGAACGAGAGAAAAGCCAAUAUAAGAAAUUCCAAGAUAUAAAGACUCUACCAGAAAUCCGAGAAUAUAAUCCAGAAGAAAAUAAUAAAUAUGAUCCGGAAAAUCCCUCAGAGAAAACCAGAAGGAAACUACUGUCUAUACGCUCUAGAAUUUCUCGUAACAGAGAUAAUAUAAUUCUCCAAUAUGUAUAAACCAUAAUCAAUAGAACAUCAGAAUAAUCUCAUAUAGAUUUUUACUAUCAACUUCAUUCCAGUAUAUCAGAAUAGAAAUCUGAAGAGAUGGGGAAAUGUCGAUCAUAACUAACUGGACUAAUAGAACUUUUCAUCUAAUAUCACAGUCACUAGCAUCCUCAUACGGUAGAAUUUCCAUUCGAAAGGGAUAACCAUACGUAUUCCCCAGAAUAGAGGAAAACAUAGAAUACUCAGAAGAGAAAGGUAGCCAUCACUUUAUUUAAUUGAAUCCGUCAUAUUCAGACAUCUGUGCAAGUCUGACAUUAUUCCUCUAACUAAUUCUGUCUUCGCUAAUCUCAUACUAUUCCAUUAUUGUACUCUUCACUUUCACUUUUGCAAGCUUAUGCAACAUAUCUCUCGAAAAUCUCAUCGUAUAACUCUAUUCUGGUAAGGGGGCGAAGAUUGUAAAGCCUCUAAACUUUUGACUCUCAAGCAAAUACAUAUUCAACAACAACAUAGCAUUACACACAUCGAUUCAAACAUUUCAAAUUUCCAACUUGUUAUGAACACAUUUUCACAUAUCUUAGUAAUACAUGCAACUUUAUUUCGUGCAAAUAUUAGCUAAACAUAAGUGAAUUUAUCAUAACUCAAACUUUCAUUUAUUUUUCUCAAAUUACCCUUAAUGUUUUAUCAAAUUCCCAUAUUUAGUCUUAAUCACUUGCCAAUAUUUAUCAAAUUGGAGAACGUCUUAUGGUUUUGAGUACAUUGCUUACUUGAUGCCAUAGUUCAACUAUGGUCUUGUACUAGCUCUCAUCCAUCUGUGUCGAUGCCGUGUCCCAGACAGGUCUUACACUGACACAUGUAACCGUGCUGACGCAUGUCCCAGACAUGUCUUACACUAGCACAUCUCGUAGCCGACACAUGUCCCGGACAUGUCUGACAUUGGCUAACAUCUCGAGGCCGAUGCAUGUCCCAGACAUGUCUUACACUGGCUCUCAUACUGUGGCUGAUGCAUGUCCCAGACAUGUCUUACACUAGCCCUCGUCUCAAUGCCGAUGCCAUGUCCCAUACAUGGUCUUACACUGGCACACAAAUCUCUUGUAUUGCCACGGUCCAACCAUGGUCUUUUCCGUCAAUUCAUUAGUGAACGAUCGUACUCAUUCCCUGCAUUCCACCCAAUUUGAUCUUUCAUUACAACUUUCAUGCUAUUAUGACAUUUAUGAUUCUGUAACUGAGAUUAUAAAGCAUAACAUUACUGCAUCUUGACUUCAUCAAUCUAGACAUAAAUGUCAACCUCAUGUAUAUAUUGAUUAUUAAUCAUGCAAUAAAAGCAUUCAUACAUACAUUCUGUCAUUUCAAGCAAAUUUCUUUCUUUUCCUAAACACUUGGCCAAAUCAAGUUGGACAUUUAACAUCGUAUGAAUACUAACAUGCAUAAAAGCGUUUUUUCACAACUUAACUGUGUUUUACUCCACUAUUUCACAUUCUUUAACUCAAGAGUAUCACAUAGUGAAUACUAGUUCAUAUGAAAAUCAUUAAUGUCUUUUCAUACCUUUCCCAUUUUCAGCAUGUCACAAGCAUGAUUCAAUAAUCUCAACUUUACUCUUAUCUUUAUCAAGAUUUGCUCGGUUCGAAUUCAUUCCUGUCUUAAACAACAGUUUUGUUAGGGCCGAGAGAUAUCACACUAUCACGAGUAAUACUAUGGCAUGUAUAGCUAGACUCUCUUACGCUAGGUUAGUCUGAGAACCGACUAAACCAUGCUCUGAUACCACUAAAUGUAACACCCCUCGCCCGCAUCCGACGCCGAGACAGGGUUCGAGGUGCUACUUGACUUUUACUAACACUUCCAUACUAAAUAGGGCCAUGAAAUCUCAAAUAAUUAAAAACUUUUAUUUUCAUAUACAAUCUGUCCCAUAUACGGGCUUACGAGGCCCAAAACAUACGUCCGGAGUGGUUUGGGACCCAACCGAGAACUCAUGAAAAACUUAGAAAAUCUCUUGCAUCAAGGCUUCAUACGCCCGUGUGGGUAUAGAGCACACGCCCGUGUGGGUAUAGAGCACACGCCCGUGUGCUAGGGACACGCCCGUGUCCCAAACCCGUGUACAAAAACCUAGACAAAUACAAGGCUAUUUUCCAAGCCAUUUUGUCACACUCACAAUAGAUACACACAUACUUAUACAACAACAUACAACAUGGCAAAAUUAGGUACUUAAACAUUCCUAACAUGUCAUGAUUAUGGCAAUUUCACAUGCAAUAGAUAUAAUAGAUUUUACUCACAUCUUUACCAUAUUCAUACUAUAAUCAUUAUAAACUCAUCACAUAAUACCAUAUCACAUGCAUGCAUAAUUAAAAUAGAUUUACAACCCCAUAAUCAAAAUAGGCCAACACAUAUGGUUAAAGCCAUAUCACAUACUCUAAUAUUUACAACAUAUUCUCAAGUUUACUACAAGCUAUCUUUUUGAGCAACGGUCACUAAAUUAUUUAUAUAUAGAGUUAAGAAACUCCAAAUUAAGUUCCGUUAAUUUUACCUGAAACUAGACUCAUUUAUCUUUCUUUCAUAAAAUUUCCAGAAUUUUUGACUCAGCCAAUUAGUACAGUUUAUUCCUCAAGUUUGCUCCUGAUUCACUGUCUGACAGUUUCAACCCUUCUACACUAAAGUUCAAUUAUCUCAUAGUACAGGAUUCGAAUAAUGUUCUCGUCUAUUUCUCUUGAAACUAGACUCAUAUUUCUACUUACUAGUUUUUUUAUAGAAUUUUUUGUGAAGCCAUUUAGUACAUUUUAUUAGUUAAAGUUUCCCCUGUUUCAGGGUAUGACUACUCUGACCCCUGUGCACUACGAAUCGAAUUUCUCCAUGUACAGAAUUCUAAUGACCAUGCUGUUUGUUUCCCUUAAAAAUAGACUCAAUAAGGAAUGUAUACAGGUAAGGUAUGACUAUUAAUAAUUUUUUUACAAUUUAUGGUGAAUUUAUAAAAUCAGAACAGGGGAUCUCAAAUUCAUUCAGACCCUAUUUCACAAGAAUUUAAAUAUCACACAAUAUAGAAUUCUUUUUCUUCCUCUAUUUCUUUCAUGUGAAAAUAGACUCAUUAAGCUUUAAUCCCAUAUUUUAUUCUGCCUCUAACUCAUUUUCCACUAUUUUUAGUGUAUUUUCAAAGUUACACUACUGCAGUAACUCAAAUCUGUCAAGGCUAAGUUACUCAUUCAUGGUCAUUGUUCAUAAUAUUAAUACAACACCAUUUUAUCCAUCAUGGUAAGAACACAUAUUAUGCAUCAUAGAUCAUCACAUAUCAAGGCAUUCUCAUAGGAUUAGUAUACAUACUUGCACAACUCGUAACAUAACUCGAGUGCAUACUCACCAAUGACUUACCUCAUUGGGACCAUCAUCAACUCUUUCCUUGGAUUGCCCGUUGAACACUUGGAAUACUAAUUGGAUACUCGGAAAAGCCUUUGCACAUAAGU
RNAcentral lists this long non-coding RNA (6270 nucleotides) under Gossypium barbadense (sea-island cotton). RNAcentral's name for it is "long non-coding RNA (GBAR_LNC000752)". Lineage: Eukaryota; Viridiplantae; Streptophyta; Magnoliopsida; Malvales; Malvaceae. The record is from RNAcentral.